RNAcentral lists this ribosomal RNA (1498 nucleotides) under uncultured bacterium. RNAcentral describes it as "bacterial SSU rRNA". It matches the Rfam family "Bacterial small subunit ribosomal RNA". The record is from RNAcentral.
UAGAGUUUGAUCAUGGCUCAGGAUGAACGCUAGCGGCAGGCUUAACACAUGCAAGUCGAAGGGCAUCGCGGGGAGUGCUUGCACUCCCUGGCGGCGACUGGCGCACGGGUGAGUAACACGUAUGCAACCUGCCCUCCACAGGGGGACAACCUUCCGAAAGGGAGGCUAAUCCCGCGUAAAUCUCGAUGGGGCAUCCCAUUGAGAGGAAAGCUUCGGCGGUGGAGGAUGGGCAUGCGGCGCAUUAGCUAGUCGGCGGGGUAACGGCCCACCGAGGCGACGAUGCGUAGGGGUUCUGAGAGGAAGGUCCCCCACACUGGUACUGAGACACGGACCAGACUCCUACGGGAGGCAGCAGUGAGGAAUAUUGGUCAAUGGGCGCGAGCCUGAACCAGCCAAGUCGCGUGAGGGAAGACGGUCCUAUGGAUUGUAAACCUCUUUUGUCGGGGAGCAAAAGACGCCACGUGUGGCGUUCCGAGAGUACCCGAAGAAAAAGCAUCGGCUAACUCCGUGCCAGCAGCCGCGGUAAUACGGAGGAUGCGAGCGUUAUCCGGAUUUAUUGGGUUUAAAGGGUGCGCAGGCGGAAGAUCAAGUCAGCGGUAAAAUUGAGAGGCUCAACCUCUUCGAGCCGUUGAAACUGGUUUUCUUGAGUGAGCGAGAAGUAUGCGGAAUGCGUGGUGUAGCGGUGAAAUGCAUAGAUAUCACGCAGAACUCCGAUUGCGAAGGCAGCAUACCGGCGCUCAACUGACGCUCAUGCACGAAAGUGUGGGUAUCGAACAGGAUUAGAUACCCUGGUAGUCCACACAGUAAACGAUGAAUACUAAUUGUUCGGGGAGAAUGAUCCCUGAGUGAUACAGCGAAAGCGUUAAGUAUUCCACCUGGGGAGUACGCCGGCAACGGUGAAACUCAAAGGAAUUGACGGGGGCCCGCACAAGCGGAGGAACAUGUGGUUUAAUUCGAUGAUACGCGAGGAACCUUACCCGGGCUCAAACGACACAGGAACGUACCUGAAAGGGUUCGGCUCUACGGAGCCUGUGUCGAGGUGCUGCAUGGUUGUCGUCAGCUCGUGCCGUGAGGUGUCGGCUUAAGUGCCAUAACGAGCGCAACCCCCAUCGACAGUUGCUAACAGGUCAGGCUGAGGACUCUGUCGAGACUGCCGGCGCAAGCUGCGAGGAAGGCGGGGAUGACGUCAAAUCAGCACGGCCCUUACGUCCGGGGCGACACACGUGUUACAAUGGCAGGUACAGCGGGAAGCCACCUGGCGACAGGGAGCGGAACCCGAAAGCCUGUCUCAGUUCGGAUUGGAGUCUGCAACCCGACUCCAUGAAGCUGGAUUCGCUAGUAAUCGCGCAUCAGCCACGGCGCGGUGAAUACGUUCCCGGGCCUUGUACACACCGCCCGUCAAGCCAUGGAAGCCGGGGGUGCCUGAAGUGCGCUGCCGCGAGGAGCGCCCUAGGGUAAAACCGGUGACUGGGGCUAAGUCGUAACAAGGUAACCGUAA